RNAcentral lists this ribosomal RNA (253 nucleotides) under uncultured bacterium. Its description in RNAcentral is "partial 16S ribosomal RNA". It matches the Rfam family "Bacterial small subunit ribosomal RNA", at positions 524 to 776 of the family's 1533-position model. The record is from RNAcentral.
UACGUAGGGUGCAAGCGUUGUCCGGAAUUAUUGGGCGUAAAGAGCUCGUAGGCGGUCUGUCGCGUCGGAUGUGAAAACCCAGGGCUCAACCCUGGGCCUGCAUUCGAUACGGGCAGACUAGAGUUCGGUAGGGGAGACUGGAAUUCCUGGUGUAGCGGUGAAAUGCGCAGAUAUCAGGAGGAACACCGGUGGCGAAGGCGGGUCUCUGGGCCGAAACUGACGCUGAGGCGCGAAAGCUAGGGGAGCAAACGGG